UCCGGCAUGGUCUAGUGGUUAUGAUACGUGGCUAGGACCCACGAGGCCCGGGUUCGAUUCCUGGUGUCGGAA
Molecule: non-coding RNA, 72 nt
Organism: Varroa destructor (honeybee mite)
Lineage: Eukaryota; Metazoa; Arthropoda; Arachnida; Mesostigmata; Varroidae
Source: the annotation of a RefSeq genome assembly